GACGAACGCGGGCGGCGUGCUUAAUACAUGCAAGUGGGACGCAAGAGGACACACUGUGCUUGCACACCGUGUUUUCUUGAGUCGCGAACGGGUGAGUAACGCGUAGGUAACCUGCCUAUUAGCGGGGGAUAACUAUUGGAAACGAUAGCUAAUACCGCAUAAUAUUAAUUAUUGCAUGAUAAUUGAUUGAAAGAUGCAAGCGCAUCACUAGUAGAUGGACCUGCGUUGUAUUAGCUAGUUGGUAAGGUAAGAGCUUACCAAGGCGACGAUACAUAGCCGACCUGAGAGGGUGAUCGGCCACACUGGGACUGAGACACGGCCCAGACUCCUACGGGAGGCAGCAGUAGGGAAUCUUCGGCAAUGGACGAAAGUCUGACCGAGCAACGCCGCGUGAGUGAAGAAGGUUUUCGGAUCGUAAAGCUCUGUUGUAAGUCAAGAACGUGUGUGAGAGUGGAAAGUUCACACAGGACG
Molecule: ribosomal RNA, 471 nt
Filed under: Streptococcus mutans
Lineage: Bacteria; Bacillati; Bacillota; Bacilli; Lactobacillales; Streptococcaceae
Description: bacterial SSU rRNA
Rfam family: Bacterial small subunit ribosomal RNA
Source: RNAcentral